AGUGUAUUGGUCUAACGGCUAGGAUACAUGACUGUCUAUCAUGGGGUACGGGUUCGAUUCCCGUAUACACCG
This 72-nucleotide transfer RNA is filed under the name Caudoviricetes sp. RNAcentral's name for it is "tRNA-Asp". It matches the Rfam family "tRNA". Rfam says of the family: Transfer RNA (tRNA) molecules are approximately 80 nucleotides in length. Their secondary structure includes four short double-helical elements and three loops (D, anti-codon, and T loops). The record is from RNAcentral. Lineage: Duplodnaviria; Heunggongvirae; Uroviricota; Caudoviricetes.